UACGUAGGGUGCAAGCGUUGUCCGGAAUUAUUGGGCGUAAAGAGCUCGUAGGCGGUCUGUCGCGUCGGAUGUGAAAACCCAGGGCUCAACCCUGGGCCUGCAUUCGAUACGGGCAGACUAGAGUUCGGUAGGGGAGACUGGAAUUCCUGGUGUAGCGGUGAAAUGCGCAGAUAUCAGGAAGAACACCAAUGGCGAAGGCAGCUCUCUGGGACGGUACUGACGCUGAGACGCGAAAGCGUGGGGAGCGAACAGG
RNAcentral lists this ribosomal RNA (253 nucleotides) under uncultured bacterium. RNAcentral's name for it is "partial 16S ribosomal RNA". It matches the Rfam family "Bacterial small subunit ribosomal RNA", at positions 524 to 776 of the family's 1533-position model. The record is from RNAcentral.